Molecule: ribosomal RNA, 653 nt
Filed under: uncultured bacterium
Lineage: Bacteria
Description: bacterial SSU rRNA
Rfam family: Bacterial small subunit ribosomal RNA
Source: RNAcentral
GAAAGGCGCUUUUGCGUCACUGAUGGAUGGACCCGCGGUGCAUUAGCUAGUUGGUGAGGUAACGGCUCACCAAGGCCACGAUGCAUAGCCGACCUGAGAGGGUGAUCGGCCACACUGGGACUGAGACACGGCCCAGACUCCUACGGGAGGCAGCAGUAGGGAAUCUUCGGCAAUGGACGAAAGUCUGACCGAGCAACGCCGCGUGAGUGAAGAAGGUUUUCGGAUCGUAAAACUCUGUUGUUAGAGAAGAAUAAGGAUGAGAGUAGAACGUUCAUCCCUUGACGGUAUCUAACCAGAAAGCCACGGCUAACUACGUGCCAGCAGCCGCGGUAAUACGUAGGUGGCAAGCGUUGUCCGGAUUUAUUGGGCGUAAAGCGAGCGCAGGCGGUUUCUUAAGUCUGAUGUGAAAGCCCCCGGCUCAACCGGGGAGGGUCAUUGGAAACUGGGAGACUUGAGUGCAGAAGAGGAGAGUGGAAUUCCAUGUGUAGCGGUGAAAUGCGUAGAUAUAUGGAGGAACACCAGUGGCGAAGGCGGCUCUCUGGUCUGUAACUGACGCUGAGGCUCGAAAGCGUGGGGAGCGAACAGGAUUAGAUACCCUGGUAGUCCACGCCGUAAACGAUGAGUGCUAAGUGUUGGAGGGUUUCCGCCCUUCA